Molecule: long non-coding RNA, 311 nt
Organism: Mytilus californianus (California mussel)
Lineage: Eukaryota; Metazoa; Mollusca; Bivalvia; Mytilida; Mytilidae
Exons: 3
Source: RefSeq, a predicted model, not a curated record
GGAUUCUAGGAACUUAAAGUCAUCUAAAUUGGUAUUAGAUAGGAAAACCAGACACUAUACGCCAUUAUAUAGAUUUUCAACAAUGCUAGACUCAGAGUAUAUACAGUCAGGACAAAAAGAAUUUAAAAGACUAUCCACAACAUUCUCAUUUUGAUGAAUUGUUAAACCACAGAAACUUAAAGAAGACCUACAGAAAACCUAGGCUGUAUAGUAUAUACAACAAUAUAAAAGAAUCGGCCAGUUGCGUUCAUCUAUAAGGAACCCAAAAAUUGAGCAAUGACCUUGAAGAGUAAGCAAUGUGUACAGUAAGA